UUCGGCAUGUUACAGGUUUGGAACUAAACUAAGUACUGUAUAUACGAUAAUGGAAAAAACAACAAAAGCUUUUCUUCUUCUAAGUUGGCUUCACAUACUCCUAUGUCUAUCCUGUCAGGUUCGUGUCACAGAGGCUAGAUUCCGUCACUUAGGUCAGUCUCUUCUUAUUCCAAAUAUCUCUUUCACAUAAAAAGAUUUACUAAUAUAAUAUGACUUGUGUGUUAAAAGGUAUAUGUGCAAAACCUUCCCCAUCGUGUGGAGAUUAUCAGGGAAGCCAUCAAGUUAAUGGACAACAAGAUAAGCCUUGUAAACGCAUUCCAAGACCACCUCCUCCUAGAGACUGCUAGCAACGUUAUAUCGUUAGGUUCGACCAAGA
This 376-nucleotide long non-coding RNA is filed under the name Brassica rapa (field mustard). RNAcentral's name for it is "long non-coding RNA (BRAP_LNC007208)". Lineage: Eukaryota; Viridiplantae; Streptophyta; Magnoliopsida; Brassicales; Brassicaceae. The record is from RNAcentral.